GCCAUUUCUAUCUGCUCUUCCGUAGUUUCUAUAUCGAUUCUGGGUAGCUUUAGUAUUCAUGCUUGUGUAUCUAGUUGUGUCGAGAAUUACUAUUUCUUCAGACUGACUAGUUAACACACUUCGGAGUCUUGAUUUUCAAAGUGCUUCUGAUGCUUACAUUUUCUUGUAUUGCAGCAUCGUGAUAGGUAGCGCUUUUGUUAGAUGCGCGCUGUGGCGUUUGGUUGCUUCUCAACUGCUGCCGUGGUGGCAAGGUGUAGCCGCGUAGGGUGUACUUGUAUCACGGAGAGGCUUUGUUUCAUCUGGUCACUCCAUACUUCUUUUGAGCCUUCAACAAGUAUGUCGUCCAUAUAGUUUGUAAUGCGUCAGGCUCAGGCUGUGAGGCGGCGCUGCAUUGUGCUGCACACUGGUGUUGUUAUGGCCGUACUAGAUGGUUCUGUUGUGGCCGCGUAACAUUGUAUACGUACAUGUUUACUAUACAUGGAGCGCGUAUCGGUUUAGUACUUCUCGUUCCUCUCUCUCUCUCUGUGCUGCGAACGUGUUUGCUUUGUUAGUUUUCUAGUGACAGUAGCAUAAGUGAUUUGGCUGGGUGUAUUAGACCAACAACAACAACAACGACAUACCCAGUGUAUUCCCACAAAGUGGGGUCUGGAGAGGGUAAAGUGUACGUAAUCCAUACCACUACCUCAGAUGAAGUAACGAGGCUGCUUCCGAUAGACACCCGGCUCAGGACAGAUAACAAAAUAUGACCAAUCCAUCAUAUUUCUUUUCUAACAUUUCUCUUUUCAUAUUGAUGUCAUAACAUACAAGGUAGGGGGUAAGGGCCUACGUACGCUCUACUCUUCCCGGAUGCGGCCACCUCAUGAGAUUAUACUAGGUAUGUUGUUGUUGACGCCAUGCACGACAGUUCGCAUUGUUGCAACGUAUGUCCUUUAACCUGUUUUCGUUUUCCAUAUACGAUAUUCGGAUCGAGUAUAUGUCAUAUGCGCUCAAACAUGACCGGCAAAUGAAUUCGAUUAAAUUCAAAUUCACACAUUGCGUAACUCAUUUCUAGAGGUGGUGCUCCCGAUAGAACUUUUCCAUUCCUAGAGGCUCGAAACUUGUAACAUUGCUAAAAUUUUGAAUCAAAUCGAAAAGCCAAACCAAAUCGAAUAAUUUUUAUACCCUUUAAUAUCU
This 1173-nucleotide long non-coding RNA is filed under the name Capsicum annuum. RNAcentral's name for it is "long non-coding RNA (CANN_LNC002389)". Lineage: Eukaryota; Viridiplantae; Streptophyta; Magnoliopsida; Solanales; Solanaceae. The record is from RNAcentral.